Molecule: unclassified non-coding RNA, 221 nt
Filed under: uncultured Basidiomycota
Lineage: Eukaryota; Fungi; Basidiomycota
Description: sequence contains ITS2
Source: RNAcentral
AACUAUCAAACCGCAAUUUUUAUUCAUAAUAAUAAUUAUGAGUUUGGAUGUUGGAUGUUUGCUGGACUACAACAGAUGGCCCAGCUCAUCUGAAAUUUAUUAGCUGAUCCAAGUAUUAUGGAUUAUCCACUUGGCGUGAUAAGUUAUCACCCGCUGAGGACUUGUCCAGAAAUAAUAAUGGAUUGCUUCUAAUUGUAGAUAUUAUGGUAUCUUACUGAAUC